GACGAACGCUGGCGGCGUGCUUAACACAUGCAAGUCGAACGGAAAGGCCCUGCUUGCAGGGUACUCGAGUGGCGAACGGGUGAGUAACACGUGGGUGAUCUGCCCUGCACUUCGGGAUAAGCCUGGGAAACUGGGUCUAAUACCGGAUAGGAGCCAUUUUUAGUGUGAUGGCUGGAAAGUUUUUUCGGUGUAGGAUGAGCUCGCGGCCUAUCAGCUUGUUGGUGGGGUAAUGGCCUACCAAGGCGGCGACGGGUAGCCGGCCUGAGAGGGUGGACGGCCACAUUGGGACUGAGAUACGGCCCAGACUCCUACGGGAGGCAGCAGUGGGGAAUAUUGCACAAUGGGCGCAAGCCUGAUGCAGCGACGCUGCGUGGGGGAUGACGGCCUUCGGGUUGUAAACUCCUUUCGCUAGGGACGAAGCUUUUUGUGACGGUACCUAGAUAAGAAGCACCGGCUAACUACGUG
RNAcentral lists this ribosomal RNA (465 nucleotides) under uncultured bacterium. Its description in RNAcentral is "partial 16S ribosomal RNA". It matches the Rfam family "Bacterial small subunit ribosomal RNA", at positions 28 to 507 of the family's 1533-position model. The record is from RNAcentral.